UCCAAGCGUGCCUCCCCAAUUCGAUCGAGGCGAGUUCAUACAUCGCCCAGACGAAGUUGGGGAAGCAUAUUCUGA
This 75-nucleotide microRNA precursor is filed under the name Haemonchus contortus (barber pole worm). RNAcentral describes it as "microRNA hco-mir-5910 precursor". Lineage: Eukaryota; Metazoa; Nematoda; Chromadorea; Rhabditida; Trichostrongylidae. The record is from miRBase by way of RNAcentral.